Molecule: unclassified non-coding RNA, 1038 nt
Filed under: Hevea brasiliensis (rubber tree)
Lineage: Eukaryota; Viridiplantae; Streptophyta; Magnoliopsida; Malpighiales; Euphorbiaceae
Source: RNAcentral
GGAGAAGAUAACCGGAGGACUGAAGCGUUGAUUAUUACAGUCGAUGGAAUGAUAUGGAGUGGAUGUGCAAAUGGAUUACUUGUCCAAUGGGAUAGAAAUGGCAAUCGCUUGCAAGAUUUCCAGUAUCACACAUUCUCCGUUCAAUGUUUAUGCACAUAUGGGUCACGGAUUUGGGCAGGUUAUGCUAGUGGUUAUAUUCAGGUAUUGGAUCUUAGUGGUAAUCUACUUGGAGGAUGGAUAGGUCAUAGUAGCCCCGUAAUAGAUUUUUCUGUUGGUGGAGGUUACGCUUUCUCUUUGGCUAAUCAUGGUGGUAUACGGGGUUGGAGUGUGAUAUCUCCUGCACCACUGGAUGGUAUUCUGCGUUCGGAGUUAGCUAGCAAGGAAUUUUUGUAUACUAGGCUAGAGAAUUUUAAAAUAUUGGCUGGUACAUGGAAUGUUGGACAAGGAAGAGCUUCACCUGAUUCACUUAUAUCAUGGUUAGGUUCUGCAGCAGCAGAUGUUGGCAUUGUUGUUGCUGGCUUGCAGGAGGUGGACAUGGGUGCUGGUUUUCUUGCAAUGUCUGCUGCUAAAGAAUCAAUGCAGGUGGGUCUUGAAGGAAGUUCUGCUGGUCAAUGGUGGUUGGAAAUGAUUGGAAAAACCUUGGAUGAGGGAUCAACUUUCAUUCGUGUUGGCUUCAGGCAGUUGGCGGGCCUGGUUAUUUCUGUCUGGGUCAGAAGAAAUAUUAGUCGUUAUAUCGGGGAUGUUGAUGUUGCAGCAGUACCUUGUGGUUUCGGCCGUGCAAUUGGGAACAAGGGAGCCGUAGGAUUAAGGAUGAGAGUAUAUGAUCGUACUGUGUGCUUUGUGAACUGUCACUUUGCUGCACAUCUAGAAGCUGUCGGUCGCCGGAAUGCUGAUUUUGACCAUGUUUAUCGAAGUAUGAUCUUUAGUCGACCAUCAAACUUUCUCAAUGCUGCAGCUGCUGGUGUCUCAUCUGCGAUUCAAAUGCUUCGCAGUGCAAAUGGUGCGUUUAACUCUGCAGAAGCAACUCCUGAGCUUUCU